GCAUUGGUUGUUCAGUAGUACAAUACUCACCUUCCAUGUAAGAGACCCAGGUUCGACUCCCAGCUAAUGCA
This 71-nucleotide transfer RNA is filed under the name Loxodonta africana (African savanna elephant). It matches the Rfam family "tRNA". Rfam says of the family: Transfer RNA (tRNA) molecules are approximately 80 nucleotides in length. Their secondary structure includes four short double-helical elements and three loops (D, anti-codon, and T loops). Further hydrogen bonds mediate the characteristic L-shaped molecular structure. tRNAs have two regions of fundamental functional importance: the anti-codon, which is responsible for specific mRNA codon recognition, and the 3' end, to which the tRNAs corresponding amino acid is attached (by aminoacyl-tRNA synthetases). tRNAs cope with the degeneracy of the genetic code in two manners: having more than one tRNA (with a specific anti-codon) for a particular amino acid; and 'wobble' base-pairing, i.e. permitting non-standard base-pairing at the 3rd anti-codon position. The record is from Rfam by way of RNAcentral. Lineage: Eukaryota; Metazoa; Chordata; Mammalia; Proboscidea; Elephantidae.